This 460-nucleotide ribosomal RNA is filed under the name uncultured bacterium. RNAcentral's name for it is "partial 16S ribosomal RNA". It matches the Rfam family "Bacterial small subunit ribosomal RNA", at positions 338 to 795 of the family's 1533-position model. The record is from RNAcentral.
CCUACGGGAGGCAGCAGUGAGGAAUAUUGGUCAAUGGACGAGAGUCUGAACCAGCCAAGUAGCGUGAAGGAUGACUGCCCUAUGGGUUGUAAACUUCUUUUAUAAAGGAAUAAAACGAGCCACGCGUGCCUUUCUGAAUGUACUUUAUGAAUAAGGAUCGGCUAACUCCGUGCCAGCAGCCGCGGUAAUACGGAGGAUCCGAGCGUUAUCCGGAUUUAUUGGGUUUAAAGGGCGCGUAGAUGGGUUGUUAAGUCAGUUGUGAAAGUUUGCGGCUCAACCGUAAAAUUGCAAUUGAUACUGGCAGUCUUGAGUGCAGUUGAGGUAGGCGGAAUUCGUGGUGUAGCGGUGAAAUGCUUAGAUAUCACGAAGAACCCCGAUUGCGAAGGCAGCUUACUAAGCUGUGACUGACAUUGAUGCUCGAAAGUGUGGGUAUCAAACAGGAUUAGAUACCCGAGUAGUC